This is a long non-coding RNA of Sarcophilus harrisii (Tasmanian devil), 951 nucleotides long. RefSeq lists it as uncharacterized. NCBI's taxonomy places the organism in Eukaryota, Metazoa, Chordata, Mammalia, Dasyuromorphia, Dasyuridae. The record is from RefSeq and is a predicted model, not a curated record. The transcript has 4 exons.
AAAAGACAUACUCAAAGAGAAUCAAAGUCAUUGCAAAAAGAUCAAAAUCAGCAGAACUAUGGGAAGAGGAACUGGGAAAGGCAUGGGGCCUAAGCUUGGAAGAAAAAUAGGUUUUUAAGAAAAAGAGGGAAGUUAUGGUGAAGUGACAAGAAUAGUGGACUUGGAAAGAGAAGAUUCUGGAUUCAAAUUCUGGGUUCCUCACUCAUUACCUGGCUGACCUUGGAAUGUUUUAUUUCCUUCAAGUUGAAGGUCAGACAUCACCUUCUACAUGAAGUAUUUCCUGAUGCCCUGCAUUAUAGCUAGUCCCCAAAUGCCUUAUGUUUUAUUUACAUACACAUACAUAUUGGUUUUGUUGUUACACACAUACAUGUGUUUAUAUGCAGAUGAUACAUGUGGAUGUACACACCAAUGAAUACCAAAUAUUCUUCUGUGUUUACAUAAAUAUACACAGCUCCCUGCAUUUAGAAUAGAUAGACAGAGAGAAAUAAUUCCAGAAAUGAUGGAAAUCCAAGUAUCUUUUUCGUGGGACAGCCGGGAGAUCAGCAUCACAGGACUGAAGAGCAAAUGUCAUGAAGAAAGAAGACCAGAAAGACUUUGCUGCUGCUUCCUCAGGGAAGCCUGAACGUCCAGCACCAGUACAGUUAAACGAUAAAGCUGCAAUAUCACGACAAGGAAGUUCUUCGCCGCAAAGAAUACCAGCAUCUGGUUGAUCACUUUAAAAUAGAUCAUUAGAAUGAGACGAAGGACCAGAAAAGGCCCAUCCUGGAUGAAGAGGCUGAUUCCAAUGUUCCACAAGUCAGCACUGUACUGGCAGAAGAAUAAACUGAUGAACCCUUUAGACGUCACAGAUGAAGGGCAGACAAAAUGUUGUACUGUAAACACAAGAUAGGUCUGUUAGGAUACUUUCUAAGGGCACAGACAAUGAUAAAAUAUAAGCCACUAGAAAACAAA